This 456-nucleotide ribosomal RNA is filed under the name uncultured bacterium. Its description in RNAcentral is "bacterial SSU rRNA". It matches the Rfam family "Bacterial small subunit ribosomal RNA", at positions 340 to 786 of the family's 1533-position model. The record is from RNAcentral.
UACGGGAGGCAGCAGGGGGAAUAUUGCACAAUGGGCGAAAGCCUGAUGCAGCUAUGCCGCGUGUAUGAAGAAGGCCUUAGGGUUGUAAAGUACUUUCAUCGGGGAGGAAAAAACAAAACUAAUAAUUUUAUUUCUUGACGUUACCCGAAAAAGAAGCACCGGCUAACUCCGUGCCAGCAGCCGCGGUAAUACGGAGGGUGCUAGCGUUAAUCAGAAUUACUGGGCGUAAAGAGCACGUAGGUGGUUUUUUUAAGUCAGAUGUGAAAUCCCUGGGCUUUAACCUAGGAACUGCAUUUUGAAACUGAAAUACUAGAGUAUCGUAGAGGGAGGUAGAAUUCUAGGUGUAGCGGUGAAAUGCGUAGAUAUCUGGAGGAAUACCUGUGGCGAAAGCGGCCUCCUAAACGAAUACUGACACUGAGGUGCGAAAGCGUGGGGAGCAAACAGGGAUUAGAUACC